GACGAACGCUGGCGGCGUGCUUAACACAUGCAAGUCGAACGGAAAGGCCUUUUCGGAGGUACUCGAGUGGCGAACGGGUGAGUAACACGUGGGUGAUCUGCCCUUCACUCUGGGAUAAGCCUGGGAAACUGGGCCUAAUACCGGAUAGGACCGCACUUUAGUGUGUGUGGUGGAAAGUCUUUUCGGUGUAGGAUGAGCCCGCGGCCUAUCAGCUUGUUGGUGGGGUAAUGGCCUACCAAGGCGGCGACGGGUAGCCGGACUGAGAGGUUGGUCGGCCACAUUGGGACUGAGAUACGGCACAGACUCCUACGGGAGGCAGCAGUGGGGAAUAUUGCACAAUGGGCGCAAGCCUGAUGCAGAGACGCCGCGUGGGGGAUGACGGCCUUCGGGUUGUAAAAUACUUUCGCCAGGGACGAAGCGUUUUGUGACGGUACCUGGAGAAGAAGCACCGGCUAACUACGUG
Molecule: ribosomal RNA, 463 nt
Filed under: uncultured bacterium
Lineage: Bacteria
Description: partial 16S ribosomal RNA
Rfam family: Bacterial small subunit ribosomal RNA
Source: RNAcentral